AGCGGGCCUUAAGUGGCUGCCUGGGUUGCGCAUUGCCGUCAGCUCGUCGUGCACUUCCUAUGUCCCGUGAUGAUGCCCUGACCAGUGAGAUGGCUAGGACAGCUGUAACGUGAGUGUGAGCCAGGUAGCGAGGUUACUUCUUUAUUGAGGUUUCUCUCGUGUUACAGGCUCGCCUUCGGGACUUGUUCUAGCGUACUGACUGGAUAUAAUUCUCCCUUCGGGGAGUGCGAGAAGCUUGCUAGCGUUGCCUUAGCCAGGUCAGUGCGGAGUCUGUUGGUCUUGACCGUUCUGCGGUCAAGUCAGUGGGCUCUGUCGGCCUGCGUUGAGGUAGCUACGGCGAGUGGUUGCAAUCGAGGGCAAGUAGGUCGGUCCUCCACCCGACCCGUCUUGAAACACGGACCAAGGAGUCUAACAUGUGCGCGAGUCACUCAGUCUUGAAUAGGCUUGAGGGGCGAAAUGAAAGUAAAUGGUACGAUCUUGGUCCUGAGCCGUAAAAAGCUCAGCCAGGCGCAGUACCGACCCGCCUAUGCUCCUCUGAGGGCUUGGCGGCGUCUGAGCGCAUACGUUGGUACCCGAAAGAUGGUGAACUAUGCCU
RNAcentral lists this ribosomal RNA (595 nucleotides) under Stereotydeus belli. RNAcentral's name for it is "partial large subunit ribosomal RNA". It matches the Rfam family "Eukaryotic large subunit ribosomal RNA", at positions 443 to 838 of the family's 3401-position model. The record is from RNAcentral. Lineage: Eukaryota; Metazoa; Arthropoda; Arachnida; Trombidiformes; Penthalodidae.